Bufo bufo (common toad) is the source of this 933-nucleotide non-coding RNA. The record is from the annotation of a RefSeq genome assembly. NCBI's taxonomy places the organism in Eukaryota, Metazoa, Chordata, Amphibia, Anura, Bufonidae.
AUGAGGACUACCUGGAUUAUAUCGGUUCUUCUCUCAGGUUUUGUGUCUUCUUGGAACAUCUCCCAGUGGCCAGAUUCGGUUCAUGUCUAUGAAGGAGAUCCCGUCGUCCUUCACUGCUCUUUUUCCCAUCCUGCAGUAUCUGCUGCUACCUUCUGGUGGUCUUGGAAGCAUGUGGUUAUCUAUGAGUUCAAGACCAUACAAGGCGUUGUGGAGAAAAACAUAACAGACCUGUUUGACCCUCGGAUGUCCCUCAAAACUGAUUUGUCAGGAAGUAGCUAUAUAACUAUCAGUAAUGUGACUCCUGAGGACAGUUCUCUUUAUAUCUGUGCGAUGACAAUCUAUAGCCCUCUUCCUGUAACCAACAGAAAAGGUAAUGGGACCCUGGUCAGUGUGGUGAAAGGUCCCAUCACAGGAUCCUCAUCAUCUCCUCUGGAAAAUACUACUUCGUUAUCAUCCCAGACCCUUCUAACAUCUCUCCCUGCCCCCCUCUGCCUCAUUCUCUUUCCUGCCUUCGUGUUCAUUGUUGCAUGCAUUUGGUUGGGGAGCUGGAUUUAUGUGAAAUUUGGGUUGUACUAAAGGAAACCAUUGGCGUCUCUACCGUUACCUGCCCUGUUGUAAUUUUUGAAUUAGAGUUGAGUUAUUCUUUUUUCCUUGACCUGUUUGAUAUUGUCGUGCAUUUUUGCAGCUUAUUUUCUAAGUCUGGUGUGAAAAGAAAUCUAAUGUGACACAUGGAAACCAUCAGCAAGCAGGUUGGGUGCUGUUUACAGGCAAUUGUUUUUGGUUUUUAUUGUAAUUAUGGCUUAUGUGAACACUCAGCGCAGAUCACCCGGUAAAUACAUGAACAUCUUAAUGAGGCCUCCUUGGUGACAUUUGGUCGCCCCCUGGGUAAAACGGGGACACAUCUGUGUCCAACGCACGACCUCAAGAUUUUUU